GGGGGGGUCAGAUCUGCAAAACAACUCAGGAAAUGUGCAUUAAAUACUAUCAUCUAAGGACUUCAGAGAGGAGCUAAAGCAGAGGAUACGGGGGAAGGCCUGUCUCAGAAAGGCCCCAUAGGGUCCUACAUCCCCACACUCCUCCCCUCAGCAGAAGGUUCUCACUUAUCCGUCUGUUGAACAAUCACUGAUAGCCUCUAUGCCAAAAGCUAUGUUAGGCCCUGGAAUCAACAGGAAGUUCCAGUUUUUGAACUCCUCCAGCUUUUGCAGGAUUGAGGGGCAGGCGUGGCAUAAAUCAGGGUUAGGUGACAAUAAAGCCUGGGAAAUUGAUAUAAACAAAGCCUGUGAUUGUGCCGUAAAGCACGGUCAGGUGCUGUAAAGCAGCGCCAGGUGAUGUAAACCAGGGUCGGAUGACGCAAAACCCGGGAAAUUGAUGUAAACAAAGCCUGAGGGUUGUGCCGUAAAGCAGGGUCACCGGCCAUAAACGUUGGGUAAUUGACGUAAAAGAAGCCUUGGGGAAGUGCCGUAAAUCACAGGUGAGGAAAUGCCUGGCACCUGACCAAGCUGGGCUCUUGCUGCAAACCCGGGCACGUGAUGUAUGAAUUGGGAUAUAUGAAUACUCCAAUUAUAACCCAAAUCCAAAACUUUACAUAAUGUUUAGUGCAUAGUUUAUGAGGAUUAAAUACAUCAUUUAUGUCAGACGUUACACUUGAGGGAUCAGAUUUCUUGAAUAGAUACCUGCACAGGCCUUUUGUCCAAGUCCAGAGACCAGUAUUCAUUAGGAAGAAGUUCAGUGGCAGAGAAGAAAGGACACUGGGAAUUAGGAUAUUUGUGUCCUGAUCUUGGCACUGCCCCUGGGAAAUUGGCAUCAAUCUUGUGUCUCUGUUUCUUAAGCUGUUAAACAAGGCAAUUGGACUACAUCUGUAUUACUCAGGGUGCUCUAAAAACCGUCUUUGUAACAGCGCUUCUGGGGUCAGGAAAGUUGUUUAAAAAAAAAAAAAAAACCUGCUUACUCCAUAGGGUUUUCAAGCUAUAAUAUUAGAAUUCCCUGGACGUCCAGUGGUUAGGACUCUGCUCUCACUGCCAAGGGCCCGGGUUCAGUCUCUGGUCAGGGAACUAAAAUCCCACAAGCCGCGAUUGGUGGCAAAAAAAACAAACCAACGCCCCCCCCAAAGUAUAAUAUUAAAGUUUAUAUAGAUAAUAUCUAAGAGAUAUAUCAUAGUAUAUCAUGUACAUGACGUAAGAAUUUUAACAUGAUAAAUAUUAAGGUUUAUCUAUAGUACUUAUUAUAUAUUGUGAUAUGCAUUCUAUUAAUAUUGUAAAAUGUAUAAAACUGCAUUUUAGCAACCACGAGGCUCUGAGGAGUCUGUGGGGUCAGAAAAACAACAACGAGCCAUAGAUAGUGUUGACUACAGACCCUCUCUUCUGAGAAAGCUGUUAGCAUCACAUAGGCCACCUGGAGGAUACUGGAUUUGAUGAGUGUAAUAUCCUCUCUACCUCCAACAUGCUAUGGAUAUCUUUAGAAAGAUCUGGCUUUGGUGAAAUGCAACAAUGGCUUAUCUUUCAGGAGGCUGAGGUGCUUUGUCUUUUUAUCUCAAACUGUGCAAACAGUGAGGAGACCUGGAAUGUUCAGAGUACACAGUGACGAUAGUGAGGCUGGUGAGCCUCCUUUUGUUUUCUUCGUAGACAACAGCGGCACCGUCGAUAGCAUCUUCUUUGGCUGUUAGGAAGACUGCAUCAAUUCAGGUGUAAUCUGCCCUUUCCAAUCUUAUUUUGACUCUUUGAUUUGACGAGGGUGUUGUAAUGCGAAGUUUUGUGUUAAAAUAGAGAACACAUUUAAGUCUUCGGAGGGAGUAGUGGCUCCCUUUCUCCACUUCUCAGCUCCUGGUCCCUGCGGAGAGGAUCCGUGCCUCCAGCUGGGCAGUGCUGUCCCCACAAUGACGUCCCUUCUUGAGUUGGGGAUUUGCUCCCUGUGUUGCGCUUGGGGCAGGUCCGCUCUGGGAGGUGGCUCCUCCCACACCCUCACAGGAGUGGGAGUUUCACAUCCAAUCACGGCGCAGGAGUGUUUCGGCAAGUGCCAGGGGACUGGCAGACAGGCGGAGCUGCAGCCGGAAACUCUCCGAAGUCAGCUGUCUUGGGCCUCUGCAUCAGACUGGUCUGUAGAGGGGACUGCUGACCUCAAGCUCACCUUAAAACAACCAUCAAGCCAGGACGAGAAGACGAUGACAACAGUGGACAGCUGACCCAAGAAUCCGGGCCAAGCCUACAACCAGCUAUCAUCAGGCUUGUUAGGUUUGUCACCUUUACCCGAAAAUCUUCUAUUUUGCCAUAUAGACACGCCCCGCCCAAUGAGGACACCAUGCCAGAGGGAGUCUCAGGAAUCAAUGAUCCUGAUGUGGGCUUCCCUGGCAGCGCAGUGGUUAUGAAUCUGCCUGCCAAUGCAGGAGACACGGGUUCGAGCCCUGGUCUGGGAAGAUCCCACAUGCUGAGGA
This is a long non-coding RNA of Aethalodelphis obliquidens (Pacific white-sided dolphin), 2492 nucleotides long. RefSeq lists it as uncharacterized. The record is from RefSeq and is a predicted model, not a curated record. The transcript is spliced from 4 exons. NCBI's taxonomy places the organism in Eukaryota, Metazoa, Chordata, Mammalia, Artiodactyla, Delphinidae.